UACGGAGGGGGCAAGCGUUGUUCGGAAUCACUGGGCUUAAAGGGCGCGUAGGCGGGCCACCCAGUCCGGGGUGAAAUCUUUCGGCUCAACCGGAAAAGGGCCUUGGAUACUGGUGGUCUGGAGGAAGGUAGGGGCAUGCGGAACUUCCGGUGGAGCGGUGAAAUGCGUUGAUAUCGGAAGGAACGCCGGUGGCGAAAGCGGCGUGCUGGACCUUUGCUGACGCUGAUGCGCGAAAGCCAGGGGAGCGAACGGG
RNAcentral lists this ribosomal RNA (253 nucleotides) under uncultured bacterium. RNAcentral's name for it is "partial 16S ribosomal RNA". It matches the Rfam family "Bacterial small subunit ribosomal RNA", at positions 524 to 776 of the family's 1533-position model. The record is from RNAcentral.